CAUGCAACUCUCUGUUUCUUUCCAGUUAUUAUACUGGAGUGUAUAACGAUGAUUAACAUUCACCCCAUUUACAAUGUCCCCCCUCCCCCCCCAAAGAAAAAAAAAAAGAACUAUCAAUUUUUUUCUAUUGACACCCCAAUUUGAAGGAAUUGUUUCAAUGUGCCACCUUCUUGAAAAUAUUUAGGUCUUGACUUUCAUGAACCUGAACAUGCAUUUUAGGUUUUCUUAAGUGACAAUUACUAUCUAUGCUUCUUGAACAUGUUAUUUUUAUUAC
Long non-coding RNA from Quercus robur (English oak), 274 nucleotides. RefSeq lists it as uncharacterized. The transcript is spliced from 2 exons. NCBI's taxonomy places the organism in Eukaryota, Viridiplantae, Streptophyta, Magnoliopsida, Fagales, Fagaceae. The record is from RefSeq and is a predicted model, not a curated record.